Molecule: ribosomal RNA, 156 nt
Organism: Vitis riparia (riverbank grape)
Lineage: Eukaryota; Viridiplantae; Streptophyta; Magnoliopsida; Vitales; Vitaceae
Product: 5.8S ribosomal RNA
Exons: 1
Source: RefSeq, a predicted model, not a curated record
GACUCUCGACAACGGAUAUCUAGGUUCUUGCAUCGAUGAAGAACAUAGCAAAAUACGAUACUUUGUGUGAAUUGCAUAAUCCUAUGAAUCAUUGAGUGUUUGAACGUAGGUUGCGCUCAAAGCCAUUAGGCUGAGGGCACGCUUGCCUGGGCGUCA